CCUACGGGUGGCAGCAGUGAGGAAUAUUGGUCAAUGGGCGAGAGCCUGAACCAGCCAAGUCGCGUGAAGGAUGAAGGAUCUAUGGUUUGUAAACUUCUUUUAUAUGGGAAUAAAGUGAGGAACGUGUUCCUUUUUGUAUGUACCAUAUGAAUAAGCAUCGGCUAACUCCGUGCCAGCAGCCGCGGUAAUACGGAGGAUGCGAGCGUUAUCCGGAUUUAUUGGGUUUAAAGGGUGCGUAGGUGGAUAGUUAAGUCAGUGGUGAAAGUUUGUGGCUCAACCAUAAAAUUGCCGUUGAAACUGGUAGACUUGAGUAUAGUAGAGGUAGGCGGAAUGCGUGGUGUAGCGGUGAAAUGCAUAGAUAUCACGCAGAACUCCGAUUGCGAAGGCAGCUUACUGGACUAUAACUGACACUGAGGCACGAAAGCGUGGGGAUCAAACAGGAUUAGAUACCCGGGUAGUC
This 460-nucleotide ribosomal RNA is filed under the name uncultured bacterium. RNAcentral describes it as "partial 16S ribosomal RNA". It matches the Rfam family "Bacterial small subunit ribosomal RNA", at positions 338 to 795 of the family's 1533-position model. The record is from RNAcentral.